UGGGGCGUGGCCAAGUGGUAAGGCGACGGGUUUUGGUCCCGGCACCCGGAGGUUCGAAUCCUUCCGUCCCAG
RNAcentral lists this transfer RNA (72 nucleotides) under Salvia verticillata. RNAcentral's name for it is "tRNA-Gln". It matches the Rfam family "tRNA". From Rfam's summary of the family: Transfer RNA (tRNA) molecules are approximately 80 nucleotides in length. Their secondary structure includes four short double-helical elements and three loops (D, anti-codon, and T loops). The record is from RNAcentral. Lineage: Eukaryota; Viridiplantae; Streptophyta; Magnoliopsida; Lamiales; Lamiaceae. RNAcentral also lists the same sequence under 3 other names.